Long non-coding RNA from Sphaerodactylus townsendi, 930 nucleotides. RefSeq lists it as uncharacterized. The record is from RefSeq and is a predicted model, not a curated record. The transcript has 2 exons. NCBI's taxonomy places the organism in Eukaryota, Metazoa, Chordata, Lepidosauria, Squamata, Sphaerodactylidae.
CUCUCACACACACACACACUCACUCACUCACUCACUCACUCUCUGUGUGUGUGGGGGGGGGAGGGGGAGGGUGUAGUGUGGAAAUAAAAAUACAGAUGUUGCUUUUCGCCACUGUGGCCUUUGUUAACCCCCCCCUCUGAUUUUUGGGGGAGGGCAGAGAUUUUUUUCCCAACAAACCUAGAAGUUUGCGGGAGCCUGUAUCUCACCCCUGAGUUGUAAUGUAGGGAGGGGUUUUGAUGUGCCCUGCAUGCUCAGUUAGGAAAACUCUUCAUUUUGCAUUUGAAUGCCACUUAGGGGAACCCCACAUACAGUAGGAGUUGAAUGAAAACCAGAUGACACUUCCAGUUGAAUCCGGCCAUGGAAGCCUUUGACAGUUUUUGCUUUUAUUAUAGUUCUAAAAGAGCCUGAUUUUUCUGUCCAUUUAAACUGAAAUGUGGGUAGGUUCUACAUUCCAGUAAUUCUCCCAGCCAAAUCUUAUUCCAUUAAUCAGGUCGUCCUUCCUGCUACCAGUUCUAUCUCCCCCCUCCCACCCUUUUUUCUGGCUUCACUUUUUCCAAACAACUUGUUCUGUGUGAUUUGCUCCCUGCCUUUCUCUUUUCUUUGUGACCUCCCAAGUUAACUGCAAAGCAAAUUUCUACCAAAUCAGUGAAGGGCACACCCUGGCAAAGUUCUUGUUGCAACCAUUCCAGUUUCUACAAUGAAAACAUUUAAGAUGCAAGCAGACAUAAAACAAAAUGUUUCAAGCUGCUGCAAUACCAAUUUUCUAAAUCUGGUUUGAUAUGUGUUCAGAUGCUAACCUCAGCCAUGCUGCUCUGAAUAAAGGUUGUGUUUCAGCACAAAUUAUAUAUACACCUGCAAAAGCCAGCGUGGAGUCAACUGUUCAGCAAUUUAUUGUCAGAAUCUUUUCGUUAAUUAUAAAAGCAAAACAAU